CCUACGGGAGGCAGCAGUAGGGAAUAUUGGACAAUGGGUGCGAGCCUGAUCCAGCCAUGCCGCGUGCAGGAAGAAGGCCUUCUGGGUUGUAAACUGCUUUUGCCGGGGGAUAAAAGACCCAUGCGUGGGGAAUUGAAGGUACCCGGUGAAUAAGCCACGGCUAACUACGUGCCAGCAGCCGCGGUAAUACGUAGGUGGCGAGCGUUGUCCGGAUUUAUUGGGUUUAAAGGGUGCGUAGGCGGCCCCGUAAGUCAGUGGUGAAAUACGGCAGCUCAACUGUCGAGGUGCCAUUGAUACUGCGGGGCUUGAGUACAGUCGAGGUAGGCGGAAUUGACGGUGUAGCGGUGAAAUGCUUAGAUAUCGUCAAGAACACCGAUAGCGAAGGCAGCUUGCUAGGCUGUAACUGACGCUGAGGCACGAAAGUGCGGGGAUCAAACAGGAUUAGAUACCCUGGUAGUCCGCACAGUAAACGAUGGUCACUCGGUGUUGGCGGUACACGGCCAGCGCCUUAGCGAAAGCGUUAAGUGACCACCUGGGGAGUACGCCCGCAAGGGUGAAACGUCAAAUUGAAUUGACGG
This 578-nucleotide ribosomal RNA is filed under the name uncultured bacterium. RNAcentral describes it as "bacterial SSU rRNA". It matches the Rfam family "Bacterial small subunit ribosomal RNA", at positions 338 to 916 of the family's 1533-position model. The record is from RNAcentral.